AAGAGGCUGCCGAAGAUGGCGGAGGUGCAGGUCCUGGUGCUUGAUGGUCGAGGCCAUCUCCUGGGCCGCCUGGCGGCCAUCGUGGCUAAACAGGUACUGCUGGGCCGGAAGGUGGUGGUCGUACGCUGUGAAGGCAUCAACAUUUCUGGCAAUUUCUACAGAAACAAGUGUAAGUUAGGACCUGGGAGGAACACUGGAGAGGGUCUCCCUGUGGGGUGUUGAGGCUCUGAAAGCAAUUGCAGCCGUGUUGGGAGAGGCUACUUGGGGUUUCUGAGAAGGCCCUUGGAAGUGGGGUUUUGAGGGUGCUGGUAGACUGGGCAGGCCUCACACUCUCCCCUCUCCCUAGUGAAGUACCUGGCUUUCCUCCGCAAGCGGAUGAACACCAACCCUUCCCGAGGCCCCUACCACUUCCGGGCCCCCAGCCGCAUCUUCUGGCGGACCGUGCGAGGUAUGCUGCCCCACAAAACCAAGCGAGGCCAGGCCGCUCUGGACCGUCUCAAGGUGUUUGACGGCAUCCCACCGCCCUACGACAAGAAAAAGCGGAUGGUGGUUCCUGCUGCCCUCAAGGUCGUGCGUCUGAAGCCUACAAGAAAGUUUGCCUAUCUGGGGCGCCUGGCUCACGAGGUUGGCUGGAAGUACCAGGCAGUGACAGCCACCCUGGAGGAGAAGAGGAAAGAGAAAGCCAAGAUCCACUACCGGAAGAAGAAACAGCUCAUGAGGCUACGGAAACAGGCCGAGAAGAACGUGGAGAAGAAAAUUGACAAAUACACAGAGGUCCUCAAGACCCACGGACUCCUGGUCUGAGCCCAAUAAAGACUGUUAAUUCCUCAUGCGUUGCCUGCCCUUCCUC
This 850-nucleotide small RNA is filed under the name Pan troglodytes (chimpanzee). Its description in RNAcentral is "retained intron". Lineage: Eukaryota; Metazoa; Chordata; Mammalia; Primates; Hominidae. The record is from RNAcentral.